This 1604-nucleotide ribosomal RNA is filed under the name Salmonella enterica. RNAcentral's name for it is "bacterial LSU rRNA". It matches the Rfam family "Bacterial large subunit ribosomal RNA", at positions 1216 to 2802 of the family's 2925-position model. The record is from RNAcentral. RNAcentral also lists the same sequence under 3 other names. Lineage: Bacteria; Pseudomonadati; Pseudomonadota; Gammaproteobacteria; Enterobacterales; Enterobacteriaceae.
UACGUUCGUUGGGUAGGGGAGCGUUCUGUAAGCCUGUGAAGGUGUGUCGUGAGGCAUGCUGGAGGUAUCAGAAGUGCGAAUGCUGACAUAAGUAACGAUAAAGCGGGUGAAAAGCCCGCUCGCCGGAAGACCAAGGGUUCCUGUCCAACGUUAAUCGGGGCAGGGUGAGUCGACCCCUAAGGCGAGGCCGAAAGGCGUAGUCGAUGGGAAACGGGUUAAUAUUCCCGUACUUGGUGUUACUGCGAAGGGGGGACGGAGAAGGCUAUGUUGGCCGGGCGACGGUUGUCCCGGUUUAAGCGUGUAGGUGUGUGUUCCAGGUAAAUCCGGUUCACUUUAACACUGAGGCGUGACGACGAGGCACUACGGUGCUGAAGCAACAAAUGCCCUGCUUCCAGGAAAAGCCUCUAAGCAUCAGGUAACACGAAAUCGUACCCCAAACCGACACAGGUGGUCAGGUAGAGAAUACCAAGGCGCUUGAGAGAACUCGGGUGAAGGAACUAGGCAAAAUGGUGCCGUAACUUCGGGAGAAGGCACGCUGACACGUAGGUGAAGUGAUUUACUCAUGGAGCUGAAGUCAGUCGAAGAUACCAGCUGGCUGCAACUGUUUAUUAAAAACACAGCACUGUGCAAACACGAAAGUGGACGUAUACGGUGUGACGCCUGCCCGGUGCCGGAAGGUUAAUUGAUGGGGUCAGCGUAAGCGAAGCUCCUGAUCGAAGCCCCGGUAAACGGCGGCCGUAACUAUAACGGUCCUAAGGUAGCGAAAUUCCUUGUCGGGUAAGUUCCGACCUGCACGAAUGGCGUAAUGAUGGCCAGGCUGUCUCCACCCGAGACUCAGUGAAAUUGAACUCGCUGUGAAGAUGCAGUGUACCCGCGGCAAGACGGAAAGACCCCGUGAACCUUUACUAUAGCUUGACACUGAACAUUGAGCCUUGAUGUGUAGGAUAGGUGGGAGGCUUUGAAGUGUGGACGCCAGUCUGCAUGGAGCCGACCUUGAAAUACCACCCUUUAAUGUUUGAUGUUCUAACGUGGACCCGUAAUCCGGGUUGCGGACAGUGUCUGGUGGGUAGUUUGACUGGGGCGGUCUCCUCCUAAAGAGUAACGGAGGAGCACGAAGGUUGGCUAAUCCUGGUCGGACAUCAGGAGGUUAGUGCAAUGGCAUAAGCCAGCUUGACUGCGAGCGUGACGGCGCGAGCAGGUGCGAAAGCAGGUCAUAGUGAUCCGGUGGUUCUGAAUGGAAGGGCCAUCGCUCAACGGAUAAAAGGUACUCCGGGGAUAACAGGCUGAUACCGCCCAAGAGUUCAUAUCGACGGCGGUGUUUGGCACCUCGAUGUCGGCUCAUCACAUCCUGGGGCUGAAGUAGGUCCCAAGGGUAUGGCUGUUCGCCAUUUAAAGUGGUACGCGAGCUGGGUUUAGAACGUCGUGAGACAGUUCGGUCCCUAUCUGCCGUGGGCGCUGGAGAACUGAGGGGGGCUGCUCCUAGUACGAGAGGACCGGAGUGGACGCAUCACUGGUGUUCGGGUUGUCAUGCCAAUGGCACUGCCCGGUAGCUAAAUGCGGAAGAGAUAAGUGCUGAAAGCAUCUAAGCACGAAACUUGCCCCGA